Molecule: long non-coding RNA, 800 nt
Filed under: Homo sapiens (human)
Lineage: Eukaryota; Metazoa; Chordata; Mammalia; Primates; Hominidae
Description: SLC8A1 antisense RNA 1
Source: RNAcentral
AUAGGCUUUUUUUUUUUUUUGAGGAAAAAGAAGAAAGAGAAAGAGACAAAGGAAAAGGAGAAAGACAAGAGAGGAAGAAGCAGGAGGAAAACAGUGGAGAGAAGAAGAAAAAAGAGAAAAAAUAAAUUACAGCUAUCUGGGCUUCCAUGGGAGUGCCAACUCUGACAGCUGAGACAUCUCUGACUUGGCUCUUUCACCUCUUGUGCAAGGGAAGAACAGCACUAUUUUUAAAGGAGGUCAUUAGUUUUGGAAAUCACUAGUGGGUAAAAAAGACCAAUUUGCAACUAGGCUCUCAUGCUCUGUUGAAAACUAUGUCACAAUAUCACAAUACUAGAUGCUGGGCUCAAGACAGCAAACAGAAAGCAGCAAGGGCAGUGACUGGAAGCUGGGAGAGAGGGUCAACAGCUGAAUCUCAGCCUGAUGGAGGCCACCAUUUAAUAAGUAAAUACAUGCACGGCUAUUUAGAUCCUGCAUCAGACAGGUCAUCAGAAAACAUGAAGCUAAAUGCAGUAAAGAAUUACUCUCUUGAACUCUUGAAAAUAUCAAAAACAUGAAGCUAAAUGCAGUAAAGAAUUAGUCUCUUGAACUCUUGAAAAUAUCAUUUUCUUAUAGAAAUGGUUUAAAAAUUUCUUUUUUAUUAUUUCUAAUUUUCCUUCAGAAAAUUGUGAGUUUUAACCUACAACACAUACACUCCAAGGUAAUGCCACUCUAAUGCUGUCUAGUUGAUCUGAAUAACUAACUGGUCAAUUAUCAGAUCCACCAAACUGUCUCUCUGGAGAUUAACUUCUGCCAGCAUAUUG